Molecule: non-coding RNA, 114 nt
Filed under: Clostridium saccharoperbutylacetonicum
Lineage: Bacteria; Bacillati; Bacillota; Clostridia; Eubacteriales; Clostridiaceae
Also listed under: 1 other name
Description: SAM-I sequence
Rfam family: SAM riboswitch aptamer (S box leader)
About the family: The SAM riboswitch is found upstream of a number of genes which code for proteins involved in methionine or cysteine biosynthesis in Gram-positive bacteria. The SAM riboswitch acts at the level of transcription termination control.
Source: RNAcentral
AUCUUAUUAAGAGUGGUGGAGGGACUGGCCCUUUGAAGCCCGGCAACCUGAAAGAUUUAUAUAAAUUUUUCGUUGGUGCUAAAUCCUGCAAGAUAAUAUCUUGAAAAAUGAGAG